RNAcentral lists this ribosomal RNA (306 nucleotides) under Triticum aestivum (bread wheat). RNAcentral describes it as "partial small subunit ribosomal RNA". The record is from RNAcentral. Lineage: Eukaryota; Viridiplantae; Streptophyta; Magnoliopsida; Poales; Poaceae.
AUGAGUCACAUAGUUCCGUUCUCUAGGUUUGGUUUUUUAUUUCACUGCUUCUCUGUAUGUUCUCUGCUCUGCAAUCUAAUUCAUUGUCAAGGUAUUUGUGUUCCAGUUACAUAUAUCUGUUGUGUAAUCAGUUGGUGGGAGCUAGAACUAGUUUGUGUUAUCCCAACAUUUUUUUCAGUGUCACCAGUCACCACCUGCACAUGUGAAGUCCUGCACAACUUACUGGAGAGAGAGAACCUUGUGAAGGUUUGCUGGGACAUCCUGCUUUACCUUUGCCAAAAUAUUUCUACUUGUGGCACUGUCUGA